GGUGACGUAGCACAACUGGUAGUGCGCCAGCCCGUCACGCUGGAAGGUGCGGGUUCAACUCCCGUCGUCAUCGCCA
RNAcentral lists this transfer RNA (76 nucleotides) under Nocardiopsaceae bacterium. RNAcentral's name for it is "tRNA-Asp". It matches the Rfam family "tRNA". From Rfam's summary of the family: Transfer RNA (tRNA) molecules are approximately 80 nucleotides in length. Their secondary structure includes four short double-helical elements and three loops (D, anti-codon, and T loops). Lineage: Bacteria; Bacillati; Actinomycetota; Actinomycetes; Streptosporangiales; Nocardiopsidaceae. The record is from RNAcentral.